RNAcentral lists this long non-coding RNA (247 nucleotides) under Lathyrus oleraceus (garden pea). RNAcentral describes it as "Pisum sativum (pea) long non-coding RNA (PSAT_LNC027522)". Lineage: Eukaryota; Viridiplantae; Streptophyta; Magnoliopsida; Fabales; Fabaceae. The record is from RNAcentral.
UCUUCUUCUUCUUCUUCUUCUUUUUUUUUCUUUCUUUUUUUUUGAUCAAUGAGUUAAAGAUUGGUGGUUAGCCUUGAUAUAUGAGAGGUUUAACCUUCUUUGAUUCAAAUCUAAUUCAUCUUGAUCAUAGAUCAAGUGAAUGGCUUUGCAUUAAAGAUAGGUUGCUUCCUAAUCAAGCAAAGAACUUAAAUUAAUACAAGAUCAUUUCUCAUCUUCUUUUGACAUGGCAAGUUGUAGGAGCUUGAUU